This 494-nucleotide ribosomal RNA is filed under the name uncultured bacterium. RNAcentral describes it as "partial 16S ribosomal RNA". It matches the Rfam family "Bacterial small subunit ribosomal RNA", at positions 28 to 507 of the family's 1533-position model. The record is from RNAcentral.
GACGAACGCUGGCGGCGCGCUUAACACAUGCAAGUCGAACGGAAAGGCCUGCUUUCCCUUGUGGAUUGCGGGUACUCGAGUGGCGAACGGGUGAGUAACACGUGAGUGAUCUGCCCCCAACUUGGGUAUAAGCCUGGGAAACUGGGUCUAAUUCCCGAUAGGACUGCAGGGUGGUGCCUGUGGUGGAAAACGAUUUUCUAGUGGUUGGGGAUGAGCUCGCGGCCUAUCAGCUUGUUGGUGGGGUAAUGGCCUACCAAGGCGGCGACGGGUAGCCGGCCUGAGAGGGUGGACGGCCACAUUGGGACUGAGAUACGGCCCGGACUCCUACGGGAGGCAGCAGUGGGGAAUAUUGCACAAUGGGCGGAAGCCUGAUGCAGCGACGCCGCGUGGGGGAUGACGGCCUUCGGGUUGUAAACUCCUUUCGACCGCGAGGAAGCCACCUGGUUGGAAGGGUGGUGACGGUAGUGGUAGAAGAAGCACCGGCUAACUACGUG